RNAcentral lists this long non-coding RNA (314 nucleotides) under Mustela putorius furo (domestic ferret). RNAcentral describes it as "lncRNA (ENSMPUG00000030675.1)". The record is from RNAcentral. Lineage: Eukaryota; Metazoa; Chordata; Mammalia; Carnivora; Mustelidae.
AUAGAGAAACAAAGUGAGUUUUAGGGGUGGCGUUCUCAGGGAGAGCAGAAUGAGAUUCUGUUUGACUCUGAAGCUUAUCUUAUUAACCCCUCUCUUCCAGGAAUUUUAACAGCUCACAUCUCUCGAAUACUCACACGCCAGUCACUCUUGAGGUGCUUCGUGAGAACUUCCACAGCAUCUCUGUAUGAUAAGUACGGCCAUGUGACUAACUGAGGACGUAUGUAGGGUUUUGGGAACAUCUCCUUAAAAGGUAACAGACACAUGCUUCUUUCCUCCUAUCCUUCCUGUGGCUGCCUGGAAUAUGGAUGUAAUGG